RNAcentral lists this ribosomal RNA (1372 nucleotides) under uncultured bacterium. RNAcentral describes it as "bacterial SSU rRNA". It matches the Rfam family "Bacterial small subunit ribosomal RNA", at positions 28 to 1381 of the family's 1533-position model. The record is from RNAcentral.
GAUGAACGCUGGCGGCGUGCCUAAUACAUGCAAGUCGAGCGAACGGACGAGAAGCUUGCUUUUCUGAUGUUAGCGGCGGACGGGUGAGUAACACGUGGAUAACCUACCUAUAAGACUGGGAUAACUUCGGGAAACCGGAGCUAAUACCGGAUAAUAUUUUGAACCGCAUGGUUCAAAAGUGAAAGACGGUCUUGCUGUCACUUAUAGAUGGAUCCGCGCUGCAUUAGCUAGUUGGUAAGGUAACGGCUUACCAAGGCAACGAUGCAUAGCCGACCUGAGAGGGUGAUCGGCCACACUGGAACUGAGACACGGUCCAGACUCCUACGGGAGGCAGCAGUAGGGAAUCUUCCGCAAUGGGCGAAAGCCUGACGGAGCGACGCCGCGUGAGUGAUGAAGGUCUUCGGAUCGUAAAACUCUGUUAUUAGGGAAGAACAUAUGUGUAAGUAACUGUGCACAUCUUGACGGUACCUAAUCAGAAAGCCACGGCUAACUACGUGCCAGCAGCCGCGGUAAUACGUAGGUGGCAAGCGUUAUCCGGAAUUAUUGGGCGUAAAGCGCGCGUAGGCGGUUUUUUAAGUCUGAUGUGAAAGCCCACGGCUCAACCGUGGAGGGUCAUUGGAAACUGGAAAACUUGAGUGCAGAAGAGGAAAGUGGAAUUCCAUGUGUAGCGGUGAAAUGCGCAGAGAUGUGGAGGAACACCAGUGGCGAAGGCGACUUUCUGGUCUGUAACUGACGCUGAUGUGCGAAAGCGUGGGGAUCAAACAGGAUUAGAUACCCUGGUAGUCCACGCCGUAAACGAUGAGUGCUAAGUGUUAGGGGGUUUCCGCCCCUUAGUGCUGCAGCUAACGCAUUAAGCACUCCGCCUGGGGAGUACGACCGCAAGGUUGAAACUCAAAGGAAUUGACGGGGGCCCGCACAAGCGGUGGAGCAUGUGGUUUAAUUCGAAGCAACGCGAAGAACCUUACCAAAUCUUGACAUCCUUUGACAACUCUAGAGAUAGAGCCUUCCCCUUCGGGGGACAAAGUGACAGGUGGUGCAUGGUUGUCGUCAGCUCGUGUCGUGAGAUGUUGGGUUAAGUCCCGCAACGAGCGCAACCCUUAAGCUUAGUUGCCAUCAUUAAGUUGGGCACUCUAAGUUGACUGCCGGUGACAAACCGGAGGAAGGUGGGGAUGACGUCAAAUCAUCAUGCCCCUUAUGAUUUGGGCUACACACGUGCUACAAUGGACAAUACAAAGGGCAGCGAAACCGCGAGGUCAAGCAAAUCCCAUAAAGUUGUUCUCAGUUCGGAUUGUAGUCUGCAACUCGACUACAUGAAGCUGGAAUCGCUAGUAAUCGUAGAUCAGCAUGCUACGGUGAAUACGUUCCCGGGUCU